GCGCCCGUGGCUCAGCUGGAUAGAGCAACGGCCUUCUAAGCCGUGGGUCGCAGGUUCGAGUCCUGCCGGGCGCG
This 74-nucleotide transfer RNA is filed under the name Thiothrix eikelboomii. It matches the Rfam family "tRNA". From Rfam's summary of the family: Transfer RNA (tRNA) molecules are approximately 80 nucleotides in length. Lineage: Bacteria; Pseudomonadati; Pseudomonadota; Gammaproteobacteria; Thiotrichales; Thiotrichaceae. The record is from Rfam by way of RNAcentral.